This 512-nucleotide ribosomal RNA is filed under the name Salmonella enterica subsp. enterica serovar Weltevreden. RNAcentral describes it as "bacterial SSU rRNA". It matches the Rfam family "Bacterial small subunit ribosomal RNA", at positions 1003 to 1515 of the family's 1533-position model. The record is from RNAcentral. Lineage: Bacteria; Pseudomonadati; Pseudomonadota; Gammaproteobacteria; Enterobacterales; Enterobacteriaceae.
GAGAUGGACUGGUGCCUUCGGGAACUGUGAGACAGGUGCUGCAUGGCUGUCGUCAGCUCGUGUUGUGAAAUGUUGGGUUAAGUCCCGCAACGAGCGCAACCCUUAUCCUUUGUUGCCAGCGGUUAGGUCGGGAACUCAAAGGAGACUGCCAGUGAUAAACUGGAGGAAGGUGGGGAUGACGUCAAGUCAUCAUGGCCCUUACGACCAGGGCUACACACGUGCUACAAUGGCGCAUACAAAGAGAAGCGACCUCGCGAGAGCAAGCGGACCUCAUAAAGUGCGUCGUAGUCCGGAUUGGAGUCUGCAACUCGACUCCAUGAAGUCGGAAUCGCUAGUAAUCGUGGAUCAGAAUGCCACGGUGAAUACGUUCCCGGGCCUUGUACACACCGCCCGUCACACCAUGGGAGUGGGUUGCAAAAGAAGUAGGUAGCUUAACCUUCGGGAGGGCGCUUACCACUUUGUGAUUCAUGACUGGGGUGAAGUCGUAACAAGGUAACCGUAGGGGAACCUGC